Molecule: ribosomal RNA, 345 nt
Filed under: uncultured cyanobacterium
Lineage: Bacteria; Bacillati; Cyanobacteriota
Description: bacterial SSU rRNA
Rfam family: Bacterial small subunit ribosomal RNA
Source: RNAcentral
AGUCAUGGGGAAUCUUCCGCAAUGGGGAAUUUUCCGCAAUGGGCGAAAGCCUGACGGAGCAACGCCGCGUGAGGGAUGAAGGCCUCUGGGCUGUAAACCUCUUUUAUCAAGGAAGAAGGUCUGACGGUACUUGAUGAAUAAGCCACGGCUAAUUCCGUGCCAGCAGCCGCGGUAAUACGGGAGUGGCAAGCGUUAUCCGGAAUUAUUGGGCGUAAAGCGUCCGCAGGCGGCCCUUCAAGUCUGCUGUUAAAAAGUGGAGCUUAACUCCAUCAUGGCAGUGGAAACUGUCAGGCUUGAGUGUGGUAGGGGCAGAGGGAAUUCCCGGUGUAGCGGUGAAAUGCGUAG